Molecule: transfer RNA, 63 nt
Filed under: Atkinsoniella thaloidea
Lineage: Eukaryota; Metazoa; Arthropoda; Insecta; Hemiptera; Cicadellidae
Description: tRNA-Ile
Source: RNAcentral
AAUAAGAUGCCUGAUAAAAGGAUUAUUUUGAUAGAAUAAAUUAUACAAUUUUUGUUCUUAUUA